GACGAACGCUGGCGGCGUGCUUAACACAUGCAAGUCGAACGGAAAGGCCCUGCUUGCGGGGUACUCGAGUGGCGAGCGGGUGUGUAACACGUGGGUGAUCUGCCCUGCACUUCGGGAUAAGCCUGGGAAACUGGGUCUAAUACCGGAUAGGAGCCAUUCUGAGUGUGAUGGUUGGAAAGUUUUUUUGGUGUAGGAUGAGCUCGCGGCCUAUCAGCUUGUUGGUGGGGUAAUGGGCUACCAAGGCGGCGACGGGGAGCCGGCCUGCGUGGGUGGACGGCCAAAUUGGGACUGAGGAACGGCCCAGGCUCCUAAGGGAGGCAGGAGUGGGGAAGAAUGGACAAAGGGCGGGAGCCUGGUGCAGCGAAGCCGCGGGGGGGAUGACGGGCUUCGGGUUGGAAACUCCUUUCGCUAGGGACGAAGCUUUUUGUGACGGUACCUGGAUAAGAAGCACCGGCUAACUACGUG
RNAcentral lists this ribosomal RNA (465 nucleotides) under uncultured bacterium. RNAcentral describes it as "partial 16S ribosomal RNA". It matches the Rfam family "Bacterial small subunit ribosomal RNA", at positions 28 to 507 of the family's 1533-position model. The record is from RNAcentral.